This 72-nucleotide transfer RNA is filed under the name Chloroflexota bacterium. RNAcentral describes it as "Chloroflexi bacterium (groundwater metagenome) tRNA-Gln". It matches the Rfam family "tRNA". Rfam says of the family: Transfer RNA (tRNA) molecules are approximately 80 nucleotides in length. Their secondary structure includes four short double-helical elements and three loops (D, anti-codon, and T loops). Lineage: Bacteria; Bacillati; Chloroflexota. RNAcentral also lists the same sequence under 1 other name. The record is from RNAcentral.
UGUGGGAUAGUUUAAUCGGCAGAACAGUGGACUCUGGAUCCAUUAGUCCUGGUUCGAGUCCAGGUCCCACAG